RNAcentral lists this ribosomal RNA (567 nucleotides) under Javania cailleti. RNAcentral's name for it is "eukaryotic LSU rRNA". The stretch from base 165 to 318 matches the Rfam family "5.8S ribosomal RNA". The record is from RNAcentral. Lineage: Eukaryota; Metazoa; Cnidaria; Anthozoa; Scleractinia; Flabellidae.
AUUACCGAUUCAUUUCCAAUGAACGAACGAACCCGUGUGAACAGUUGCCAAACAUUUAGGGGUCGUCGCCAGACGUUAAAUGAUCGUUGAUUCGGUCAGCCCCGCCAUGGUUUUUCGCAAACACUUGACGACAGUCUGAAACAUGAGAAACGAAAAAGAGAGACAACUUUUAACGGUGGAUCUCUUGGCUCACGUAUCGAUGAAGAACGCAGCCAGCUGCGAUAAGUAGUGUGAAUUGCAGAAUUCAGUGAAUCAUCGAAUCUUUGAACGCAAAUGGCGCUCUUGGGUUCUCCCAGGAGCAUGUCUGUCUGAGUGUCGGAUAUCAACGAACGCACCCGUCGGUGCGGAAUUGAGGCUUGUCGCGGCGAUCCCCGCCGCGUCCCUCGAAGGCCAGCGAGACUCGCACAGCGCGGUUUCCCCGCCACUCCGUGCGAAGGCUAAAAUAUUCUUGGCCCUUCGUCGAAGUGCGCGGACCCGCCAACGCGCCAGUCUCGACAGACGCAAGACGCAAUCAAUCUUGACCUCAGAUCAGGCAAGGCUACCCGCUGAAUUUAAGCAUAUUAAUAA